RNAcentral lists this ribosomal RNA (1329 nucleotides) under metagenome. RNAcentral's name for it is "bacterial LSU rRNA". It matches the Rfam family "Bacterial large subunit ribosomal RNA", at positions 1578 to 2925 of the family's 2925-position model. The record is from RNAcentral.
UAGAGUACCGAAGUGACUGAUUCCGCACUGACGAGAAAAUCCACUAUCGAGAGUAGAGGUACCCGUACCGCAAACCGACACAGGUAGAUGAGGAGAGAAUCCUAAGACGAACGGGAGAAGCGUUGUUAAGGGACUCGGCAAAUUGACCCCGUAAGUUCGCAAUAAGGGGUGCCUCAGAAAUGAGGUCGCAGAGAAUAGGCCCAAGCAACUGUUUAACAAAAACACAGGUCUCUGCUAAAUCGAAAGAUGAAGUAUAGGGGCUGACGCCUGCCCGGUGCUGGAAGGUUACGGGAAUCUGUCAACGAAAGUGAAGCAGUGAACUUAAGCCCCAGUAAACGGCGGCCGUAACAAUAACGGUCCUAAGGUAGCGAAAUUCCUUGUCAGGUAAGUUCUGACCCGCACGAAUGGCGUAAUGAUUUGGGCACUGUCUCAACAACGUACCCGGCGAAAUUGUAGUACUUGUGAAGAUGCAAGUUACCCGCGACUAGACGGAAAGACCCCAUGGAGCUUUACUGUAGCCUGAUACUGGGUUUCGGUAUUCUUUGUACAGGAUAGGUGGGAGGUUAGGAAGUAUGGACGCCAGUUCAUAUGGAACCGACGUUGGGAUACCACUCUAAGAAUACUGGAACUCUAACCUGAGGCCAUAAGCUGGUCUAGGGACACUGUCAGGUGGGCAGUUUGACUGGGGCGGUCGCCUCCCAAAAGGUAACGGAGGCGUUCAAAGGUUACCUCAGCGCGGUUGGAAAUCGCGCAACGAGUGCAAAGGCAUAAGGUAGCCUGACUGCGAGACAGACAAGUCGAGCAGGUACGAAAGUAGGACUUAGUGAUCCGGCGGUAUGAAAGUGGAAUUGCCGUCGCUCAACGGAUAAAAGCUACCCUGGGGAUAACAGGCUGAUCUCCCCCAAGAGUCCACAUCGACGGGGAGGUUUGGCACCUCGAUGUCGGCUCAUCGCAUCCUGGAGCUGAAGUAGGUUCCAAGGGUUUGGCUGUUCGCCAAUUAAAGCGGUACGCGAGCUGGGUUCAGAACGUCGUGAGACAGUUCGGUCCCUAUCUGUCGCGGGCGCAGGAUAUUUGAAGGGAUCUGUCCUUAGUACGAGAGGACCGGGAUGGACGAACCUCUGGUGUACCAGUUGUACUACCAAGUGCAUAGCUGGGUAGCCAAGUUCGGAAGGGAUAAACGCUGAAGGCAUCUAAGCGUGAAACCCACCCUAAGAUGAGAUAUCCCACCGUAAGGGUAAGACCCCAUGUAGACUACAUGGUUGAUAGGCCAGAGGUGUAAGUGCAGUAAUGUAUUUAGCCGACUGGUACUAAUAGGUCGAGGGCUUGACC